CAAGGGCUUUGCGUGUUAUUUUAGAGGCAGAUCGCAAGCACAGCGCGUUGUGCUCGAAUUCGGUGAAAUGUAAGUAAUUUGAAUAGUGAAAUGAGUUAAAUCUCAGAAAUCUAAACAAGCCUGAAACGUUCAGAAGACGUGAAAAAAGAUUUUGGCAGAAAAAAGCGUCAAGUUCAUUUUGUGACUUCUUACUGUAACUGAGGAAUGGGUGUGAAGGUACUCCUGUGCUUCCCCUUCUACAGACGAUGCAAAGAACGAUGCAAGAACAGGCAGUGCCCUCGUGAAACAGAAUCCCCAGUGUCGAGUGAGGAGCGGAAGACCCGUCUCUCCUCCUCCACAUCCAUGAGCAGUGAGGGCGACAACAGCAGCAGCCUGGGAGGGCAGCGUGCAUUUUUUUCCCAGAAGGCCCGGGUCUCCCUCAGACACCAGAUCGACAGUAACAUUAAUGAAGUGGAUGCCACAUAUUAACUCUCACUGGUUGCCAAGCUCCUGAAAAUGAACUCUGACCCUGAGCUGUGAACUUUUGAGGACUGAAAAGUAGAGUUAGCAUUGAUGGAGGCUGUAGUGUUUAUGUUUUCACUGCUCAAGCACCACUGAAUCAUGUUUACACUGAAGGAGAGAUGUUUACAAGAUUUACAAAAAAAGUGCUGUCUGUGUUGACCUGUUUGUCCUGCUCACCUUCCUUGGUGUGGUAGGUCCCAUACUGUUGAGUUUUCUGUGGGCUGGUUUCCUGGAUUUGGAUUAAGCCUAGUCAUGGACAAAAAAGCAUUGGCACACAAUGAAAAUUCAUUUUAGUCUAGACUUAAUCUGGGGCUGGUAAACUGGCCCUGAAGGUCACAGAUAUCUGCAUAGUUUUGGUUAUUUUGUGCAAAUGAGUUAAUUCAUAACACUAGUAUUCACUUCAACUAUAAUAUAUUUAUAUUUCUUCCUUGUUGGGACAAAAUCUAACAAUGAAUUGUAAUUGCAGACAAAGAAGAGGUUGUACUCAUUUUUCCCCACUUUACAAAACAAUGUUUUUAAGCCUUCUUGA
Electrophorus electricus (electric eel) is the source of this 1030-nucleotide long non-coding RNA. RefSeq lists it as uncharacterized. The record is from RefSeq and is a predicted model, not a curated record. Lineage: Eukaryota; Metazoa; Chordata; Actinopteri; Gymnotiformes; Gymnotidae.